Molecule: ribosomal RNA, 515 nt
Filed under: uncultured bacterium
Lineage: Bacteria
Description: partial 16S ribosomal RNA
Rfam family: Bacterial small subunit ribosomal RNA
Source: RNAcentral
ACUCAAAGGAAUAGACGGGGGCCCGCACAAGCGGUGGAGCAUGUGGUUUAAUUCGACGCAACGCGAAGAACCUUACCUGGGCUUGACAUGCAGCGGAAACCCCGGUGAAAGCCGGGGCCCCCUUCGGGGCCGCUGCACAGGUGCUGCAUGGCUGUCGUCAGCUCGUGUCGUGAGAUGUUGGGUUAAGUCCCGCAACGAGCGCAACCCCCGUCUUCAGUUGCCAGCGGAGAGGCCUUAAACAAGCCGAGCCGGGGACUCUGAAGAGACUGCCGGUGCCAAACCGGAGGAGGGUGGGGACGACGUCAAGUCAUCAUGGUCCUUACGCCCAGGGCCACACACGUGCUACAAUGGCGCGCACAGCAGGACGCGAACCCGCGAGGGGGAGCCGAUCCCCAAAGCGCGCCUCAGUUCGGAUCGUGGGCUGCAACCCGCCCACGUGAAGCUGGAAUCGCUAGUAAUCGUGGAUCAGCCACGCCACGGUGAAUACGUUCCCGGGCCUUGUACACACCGCCCGU